RNAcentral lists this ribosomal RNA (551 nucleotides) under uncultured Planctomycetota bacterium. RNAcentral's name for it is "bacterial SSU rRNA". It matches the Rfam family "Bacterial small subunit ribosomal RNA", at positions 335 to 894 of the family's 1533-position model. Lineage: Bacteria; Pseudomonadati; Planctomycetota. The record is from RNAcentral.
ACACCUACGGGUGGCUGCAGUCGAGGAUCUUCGGCAAUGGGCGCAAGCCUGACCGAGCGACGCCGCGUGUGCGAUGAAGGCCUUCGGGUUGUAAAGCACAGUCGAGGGGGAUAAAGCCCGCAAGGGUUGAUUGAUCCCUGGAGGAAGCACGGGCUAAGUUCGUGCCAGCAGCCGCGGUAAGACGAACCGUGCGAACGUUGUUCGGAAUCACUGGGCUUAAAGGGCGCGUAGGCGGCAUGCCAAGUCCGGGGUGAAAGCCCCCGGCUCAACCGGGGAAGUGCCUUGGAUACUGGUGUGCUGGAGGGAGGUAGGGGUCGAGGGAACUUCUGGUGGAGCGGUGAAAUGCGUUGAUAUCAGAAGGAACGCCGGUGGCGAAAGCGCUCGACUGGACCUUUUCUGACGCUGAGGCGCGAAAGCUAGGGGAGCAAACGGGAUUAGAUACCCCGGUAGUCCUAGCCCUAAACGAUGGGUACUAGUUUGUGGACUAGUCAUGGGUUCACAGACGAAGCAAAAGUGUUAAGUACCCCGCUUGGGGAGUAUGGUCGCAAGGC